CCUACGGGUGGCUGCAGUGAGGAAUAUUGGUCAAUGGACGAGAGUCUGAACCAGCCAAGUAGCGUGAAGGAUGACUGCCCUAUGGGUUGUAAACUUCUUUUAUAUGGGAAUAAAACGUUCCACGUGUGGGAUUUUGUAUGUACCAUAUGAAUAAGGAUCGGCUAACUCCGUGCCAGCAGCCGCGGUCAUACGGAGGUUCCAAGCGUUAUCCGGAUUUAUUGGGUUUAAAGGGAGCGUAGGUGGAUUGUUAAGUCAGUUGUGAAAGUUUGCGGCUCAACCGUAAAAUUGCAGUUGAAACUGGCAGUCUUGAGUACAGUAGAGGUGGGCGGAAUUCGUGGUGUAGCGGUGAAAUGCUUAGAUAUCACGAAGAACUCCGAUUGCGAAGGCAGUUCACUGGACUGCAACUGACACUGAGGCUCGAAAGUGUGGGUAUCAAACAGGAUUAGAUACCCCAGUAGUC
Molecule: ribosomal RNA, 460 nt
Filed under: uncultured bacterium
Lineage: Bacteria
Description: partial 16S ribosomal RNA
Rfam family: Bacterial small subunit ribosomal RNA
Source: RNAcentral